This 401-nucleotide ribosomal RNA is filed under the name uncultured bacterium. RNAcentral describes it as "bacterial SSU rRNA". It matches the Rfam family "Bacterial small subunit ribosomal RNA", at positions 355 to 773 of the family's 1533-position model. The record is from RNAcentral.
UUGGGAAUCUUGGACAAUGGGGGAAACCCUGAUCCAGCCAUGCCGCGUGAGUGAUGAAGGCCUUCGGGUUGUAAAACUCUUUCGACGGGGACGAUAAUGACGGUACCCGUAGAAGAAGCUCCGGCUAACUUCGUGCCAGCAGCCGCGGUAAUACGGAGGGUGCAAGCGUUAAUCGGAAUUACUGGGCGUAAAGCGUGCGCAGGCGGUUUGUUAAGUCUGUUGUGAAAUCCCCGAGCUCAACUUGGGAAUUGCAAUGGAUACUGGCAGGCUGGAGUAUGGUAGAGGAAGGUGGAAUUCCCGGUGUAGCAGUGAAAUGCGUAGAGAUCGGGAGGAACACCAGUGGCGAAGGCGGCCUUCUGGACCAAUACUGACGCUCAUGCACGAAAGCGUGGGGAGCAAAC